AAUGCACCAAUUUGUAAGUCGCUAUGGAUAAGAGCGUCUGCUAAAUGACGUAAA
Salmo salar (Atlantic salmon) is the source of this 54-nucleotide non-coding RNA. The record is from Rfam. Lineage: Eukaryota; Metazoa; Chordata; Actinopteri; Salmoniformes; Salmonidae.